GAGGGUAUAGCUCAAGUGGCAGAGCGCAUGCUUAGCAUGCUUGAGGUCCUGGGUUCAAUCCCCAGCACCUCCU
RNAcentral lists this transfer RNA (73 nucleotides) under Camelus bactrianus (Bactrian camel). It matches the Rfam family "tRNA". From Rfam's summary of the family: Transfer RNA (tRNA) molecules are approximately 80 nucleotides in length. Their secondary structure includes four short double-helical elements and three loops (D, anti-codon, and T loops). RNAcentral also lists the same sequence under 2 other names. The record is from Rfam by way of RNAcentral. Lineage: Eukaryota; Metazoa; Chordata; Mammalia; Artiodactyla; Camelidae.